This 69-nucleotide transfer RNA is filed under the name Phytophthora infestans T30-4. RNAcentral describes it as "tRNA-Thr". Lineage: Eukaryota; Oomycota; Peronosporomycetes; Peronosporales; Peronosporaceae. The record is from RNAcentral.
GAGUCGAGCAGUGGUAGAGCACUCGCUUCGUAAGCGAAAGGUCGGUGGUUCGAUCCCGCCUGGGGCUCU